Molecule: unclassified non-coding RNA, 170 nt
Filed under: rhizosphere metagenome
Description: partial ribosomal RNA internal transcribed spacer region
Source: RNAcentral
GUAGGUGAACCUGCGGAAGGAUCAUUAACGAACGAGGAAUUCCAAUUUACUUGGGAUUUUCUUGGGAUCAACCAAAACCUAUGUAAUGUAAAAUGUAUAUCGAUUAAUACUCGAAUACGCAAAUAAUUUUAAUAAAUACAAAACUUUCAACAACGGAUCUCUUGGCUCUU